This 251-nucleotide ribosomal RNA is filed under the name uncultured prokaryote. RNAcentral describes it as "partial 16S ribosomal RNA". It matches the Rfam family "Bacterial small subunit ribosomal RNA", at positions 524 to 774 of the family's 1533-position model. The record is from RNAcentral.
UACGGAGGAUGCAAGCGUUAUCCGGAUUCAUUGGGUUUAAAGGGUGCGUAGGCGGACUAUCAAGUCAGUGGUGAAAGCCUGCAGCUUAACUGCAGAACUGCCAUUGAUACUGAUAGUCUUGAGUUUGGUUAAGGUAGGCGGAAUGUGUAAUGUAGCGGUGAAAUGCUUAGAUAUUACACAGAACACCAAUUGCGUAGGCAGCUUACUGAGCCGACACUGACGCUGAGGCACGAAAGCGUGGGGAUCGAACA